UCGGGAGUCGCCAAGUGGUAAGGCAACGGACUCUGAAUCCGUCAUUCGAAGGUUCGAAUCCUUCCUCCCGAGCCA
RNAcentral lists this transfer RNA (75 nucleotides) under Candidatus Peregrinibacteria bacterium. RNAcentral describes it as "tRNA-Gln". It matches the Rfam family "tRNA". From Rfam's summary of the family: Transfer RNA (tRNA) molecules are approximately 80 nucleotides in length. Lineage: Bacteria; Candidatus Peregrinibacteriota. The record is from RNAcentral.